RNAcentral lists this ribosomal RNA (213 nucleotides) under uncultured bacterium. RNAcentral's name for it is "partial 16S ribosomal RNA". It matches the Rfam family "Bacterial small subunit ribosomal RNA", at positions 1288 to 1500 of the family's 1533-position model. The record is from RNAcentral.
CCAGUUCGGAUCGCAGGCUGCAACCCGCCUGCGUGAAGUUGGAAUCGCUAGUAAUCGCGGAUCAGCAUGCCGCGGUGAAUACGUUCCCGGGCCUUGUACACACCGCCCGUCACACCAUGAGAGUCGGGAACACCGAAGUCCGUAGUCUAACCGCGAAGGGGGACGCGGCCGAAGGUGGGUUCGAUAAUUGGGGUGAAGUCGUAACAAGGUAUC